This 502-nucleotide ribosomal RNA is filed under the name uncultured bacterium. RNAcentral describes it as "bacterial SSU rRNA". It matches the Rfam family "Bacterial small subunit ribosomal RNA", at positions 28 to 526 of the family's 1533-position model. The record is from RNAcentral.
GACGAACGCUGGCGGCGUGGAUUAGGCAUGCAAGUCGAACGGUAUCAUCCUUUCGGGGGUGAGAGAGUGGCGAACUGGUGAGUAACACGUAGGUUAUCUACCCUCAAGACGGGGACAACCCAGGGAAACUUGGGCUAAUACCGGAUGUGAGCAACUUUUAGUUGUUUGAAAGGUGGCGUAAGCUGUCGCUUGGGGAUGAGCCUGCGUCCUAUUAGUUAGUUGGUGAGGUAACGGCUCACCUAGGCAAUGAUAGGUAGGCGGCCUUAACGGGUGGUCGCCCACACUGGGAUUGAGAUACGGCCCAGACUCCUACGGGAGGCAGCAGUCGAGAAUAGUCUACAAUGGUCGGAAGACUGAUAGUGCGACGCCGCGUGAACGAUGAAUCCCUUCGGGGUUAAAGUUCUUUUAAUGUGAGCAGUGCUUCUUAUAUUAACAGUAUGGGGAAGAGAUAUUAGCAUAUGAAUAAGCAACGGCUAACUCCGUGCCAGCAGCCGGGUAAUAC